ACCCGCGCACCCGUGACCCAACCAACCCUUGGGGUUGGGCGAGCCCCCCCUCCUUCUCGGGGGCCGGGGGCCGCCCCUCCCCUCCCCCUCCCGUCGCCUCGGCGGCGGGGGAGGACGGACGAAAACCCCGGCGCGGCGCCGCGCCAAGGAACACUGACGAAGGAAGCGGGGCGGCCGCGCGCGCCAGCGCGGCGGGCCGCCCCGCGGCCGACCGUAAAAGGUAACACCUAACGACUCUCGGCAACGGAUAUCUCGGCUCUCGCAUCGAUGAAGAACGUAGCGAAAUGCGAUACCUGGUGUGAAUUGCAGAAUCCCGCGAACCAUCUAGUCUUUGAACGCAAGUUGCGCCCGAGGCCGUCCGGCCGAGGGCACGCCUGCCUGGGCGUCACGCAUCGCGACGCUCCGCGCCCCGCCCGCCCGAACGGCGGAGUGGGUGCCGCGGACGCGGAGACUGGCCCCCCGCGCCUCCGGCGCGGCGGGCCGAAGAGCGGGCCGCCCGCGCGGGCCGGGCACGGCGAGUGGUGGACGCGCCAGCGAGCCGAGCGCCGUGCCUCCGGCCCCAGCGGCGAGAGAGGCCCAAGAGGACCCCCACCCCGAGCGGCGCGCCUCCUAGCAGUAGGCAGGCCGCGCGAUCGGACCGCGACCCCAGGUCAGGCGGGGCCACCCGCUGAGUUUAAGCA
This 680-nucleotide ribosomal RNA is filed under the name Puya ferruginea. RNAcentral's name for it is "eukaryotic LSU rRNA". The stretch from base 233 to 388 matches the Rfam family "5.8S ribosomal RNA". Lineage: Eukaryota; Viridiplantae; Streptophyta; Magnoliopsida; Poales; Bromeliaceae. The record is from RNAcentral.